AAGUAUUCAUGAAUAUAGUAGCACAAAUAAUUAAAUAGUAGUUAUAGGAUAUAUGGUAUUUAUAAGAAGUUAAUAGCUGCUAAAUAAUAGUAGUUUCUGAAAAUUCUUCAUAAAUCUAUUGUCCUGUCUUCUCAAAAUAGUCGGUGUAUAUCACAAAAACAGCUCCUCACAAAGCAAACAACAGCCUUCGUCCAAACUACUUGCGACGACGCUCAAUAACUGGGUAUGCUAACCUUCAUGCAAUGGUACACUUGAUUUUGCCGAAGCCUUGUAAUUUCCACCUUUUCCGGUGGGAGUUCUUCACCAAGAAAAACUUCUCUCCCUUAUCAUCUAUACCAAAUCCUACAACCAGGAGGGCAUGUUCAGAUCUAGCCUACCCCUCCACUAUUUCUCUCUCAGUGGCACAGAACUUGUAAUUGGCUAAAUGUACAAAUAAAAUUAUUACCAUUCACCUCUCAUGUGUCUUUGAAAGCUAGGAUAAUGAAUUAUAGCACAGGUGAUAUGCUCUUUCCUGAUAAUUUCUUCAAUGGCCUUUUCAUCAAAAUUUGACACCUCCACAUAGUCAAAUAUCUUGACAUAUUUAUCCUCGUUCUGCAUCAAAAUCCAUUGCAUAACUGUAAGCCAUUACAAACGAGCCAAGAAAUCUCUCAUUGUAAAGAAUAGCAGAAGAAAAAUAUUAUUAGAGGCCUUCUGCUAGCCAAUAUCGUUAACUAAGAUUGGAGGAUUCAACUAAAGAAGAGGAAAAUUGAAAAGAGAAAGAGAUUUUUGAUGGAAGAACUUGUGUAGGAAAGAAAAGCUUUCUUGAUUUUUUGGCUUAGUUACAAACGCCUAAGGCCACCCCUACUUAUACUUCUCCAAGGACGGUUCUAGAUAAUAUUCUAGAAUAUGUAUAAGAAAAGUCUAGGUAACCUUAUCUUCCCACAAUACUCUAGAAUAUCUGAACGUGUCUAUUGGAUAACUUAGCUUUACACACUAUUCUACACCAUCCAAUUGUGUCUAUUAGAUAAGUAUCAAAAAUACUACACUACAAUAUUCUAGAGAAAUUUGGUAUGUUUUUUCAAAAAUCAACUUUACUUUAU
Molecule: long non-coding RNA, 1079 nt
Filed under: Nicotiana benthamiana
Lineage: Eukaryota; Viridiplantae; Streptophyta; Magnoliopsida; Solanales; Solanaceae
Description: long non-coding RNA (NBEN_LNC016320)
Source: RNAcentral